This 253-nucleotide ribosomal RNA is filed under the name uncultured bacterium. RNAcentral describes it as "partial 16S ribosomal RNA". It matches the Rfam family "Bacterial small subunit ribosomal RNA", at positions 524 to 776 of the family's 1533-position model. The record is from RNAcentral.
UACGUAGGGGGCAAGCGUUGUCCGGAAUCAUUGGGCGUAAAGGGCUCGUAGGCGGCCAACUAAGUCAGACGUGAAAUCCCUCAGCUUAACUGGGGAACUGCGUCUGGGACUGGAGAGCUCGAGUGCAGGAGAGGAAUGCGGAAUUCCAGGUGUAGCGGUGAAAUGCGUAGAUAUCUGGAGGAACACCGGUGGCGAAGGCGGCAUUCUGGACUGCAACUGACACUGAGGAACGAAAGCCGGGGGAGCAAACGGG